Molecule: ribosomal RNA, 493 nt
Filed under: uncultured bacterium
Lineage: Bacteria
Description: partial 16S ribosomal RNA
Rfam family: Bacterial small subunit ribosomal RNA
Source: RNAcentral
GACGAACGCUGGCGGCGUGCUUAACACAUGCAAGUCGAACGGUGAAGGGACCGGUUUUUGCUGGUUCUGGAUGAGUGGCGAACGGGUGAGUAACACGUGAGUAACCUGCCCCCUUCUUCUGGAUAACCGCAUGAAAGUGUGGCUAAUACGGGAUAUUCUGCGCCUGCUGCAUGGUGGGUGUGGGAAAGAUAUUGUUUCGGUGGGGGAUGGGCUCGCGGCCUAUCAGCUUGUUGGUGGGGUGAUGGCCUACCAAGGCGGUGACGGGUAGCCGGCCUGAGAGGGUGGACGGUCACACUGGGACUGAGACACGGCCCAGACUCCUACGGGAGGCAGCAGUGGGGAAUAGUGCACAAUGGGCGCAAGCCUGAUGCAGCGACGCCGCGUGAGGGAUGGAGGCCUUCGGGUUGUAAACCUCUUUCGCCAGUGAAGCAGGCCUGUCCCUUGUGUGGGUGGGUUGACGGUAGCUGGAGAAGAAGCGCCGGCUAACUACGUG